UUUAACCCCGUCCCCCGCUGGCGUUAAUACCCAAUCCUGACACAGGGAGGUAGUGACAAGAAAUAACAAUACAGGGCUUUCGUCUUGUAAUUGGAAUGAUGGCGACUUAAACCCUCGCCAGAGUAACAAUUGGAGGGCAAGUCUGGUGCCAGCAGCCGCGGUAAUUCCAGCUCCAAUAGCGUAUAUUAAACUUGUUGCAGUUAAAAAGCUCGUAGUUGAAUUUCUGCGUUGCGUUUUUCUUGCUUUUUGCUUGACUUUCGCUUCGCUUUUUGGUUUUACUUUGAGAAAAUUAGAGUGUUUAUCGCAGACUUUUGUCUUGAAUACUUCAGCAUGGAAUAAUAGAGUAGGACCUUGGUUCUAUUUUGUUGGUUUUUGAGCCUUGGUAAUGGUUAAUAGGAACGGUUGGGGGCAUUCGUAUUUAAA
Molecule: ribosomal RNA, 423 nt
Filed under: Babesia caballi
Lineage: Eukaryota; Apicomplexa; Aconoidasida; Piroplasmida; Babesiidae
Description: SSU rRNA
Rfam family: Eukaryotic small subunit ribosomal RNA
Source: RNAcentral